RNAcentral lists this ribosomal RNA (546 nucleotides) under uncultured human oral bacterium A50. RNAcentral describes it as "bacterial SSU rRNA". It matches the Rfam family "Bacterial small subunit ribosomal RNA", at positions 524 to 1071 of the family's 1533-position model. The record is from RNAcentral.
UACGGAGGGUGCGAGCGUUAAUCGGAAUAACUGGGCGUAAAGGGCACGCAGGCGGCUAUUUAAGUGAGGUGUGAAAUCCCCGGGCUUAACCUGGGAAUUGCAUUUCAGACUGGGUAGCUAGAGUACUUUAGGGAGGGGUAGAAUUCCACGUGUAGCGGUGAAAUGCGUAGAGAUGUGGAGGAAUACCGAAGGCGAAGGCAGCCCCUUGGGAAUGUACUGACGCUCAUGUGCGAAAGCGUGGGGAGCAAACAGGAUUAGAUACCCUGGUAGUCCACGCUGUAAACGCUGUCGAUUUGGGGAUUGGGCUUUAAGCUUGGUGCCCGUAGCUAACGUGAUAAAUCGACCGCCUGGGGAGUACGGCCGCAAGGUUAAAACUCAAAUGAAUUGACGGGGGCCCGCACAAGCGGUGGAGCAUGUGGUUUAAUUCGAUGCAACGCGAAGAACCUCACCUACUCUUGACAUCCAUGGAAUCUUGUAGAGAUACGGGAGUGCCUUCGGGAACCAUGAGACAGGUGCUGCAUGGCUGUCGUCAGCUCGUGUUGUUUG